UGGUAAGGUAACGGCUUACCAAGGCGAUGGUGCAUAGCCGAGUUGAGAGACUGAUCGGCCACAAUGGAACUGAGACACGGUCCAUACUCCUACGGGAGGCAGCAGUAGGGAAUCUUCCACAAUGGGCGCAAGCCUGAUGGAGCAACACCGCGUGAGUGAAGAAGGGUUUCGGCUCGUAAAGCUCUGUUGUUGGAGAAGAACGUGCGUGAGAGUAACUGUUCAUGCAGUGACGGUAUCCAACCAGAAAGUCACGGCUAACUACGUGCCAGCAGCCGCGGUAAUACGUAGGUGGCAAGCGUUAUCCGGAUUUAUUGGGCGUAAAGCGAGCGCAGGCGGUUGCUUAGGUCUGAUGUGAAAGCCUUCGGCUUAACCGAAGAAGUGCAUCGGAAACCGGGCGACUUGAGUGCAGAAGAGGAUAGUGGAACUCCAUGUGUAGCGGUGGAAUGCGUAGAUAUAUGGAAGAACACCAGUGGCGAAGGCGGCUGUCUGGUCUGCAACUGACGCUGAGGCUCGAAAGCAUGGGUAGCGAACAGGAUUAGAUACCCUGGUAGUCCAUGCCGUAAACGAUGAGUGCUAGGUGUUGGAGGGUUUCCGCCCUUCAGUGCCGGAGCUAA
This 614-nucleotide ribosomal RNA is filed under the name uncultured bacterium. RNAcentral describes it as "bacterial SSU rRNA". It matches the Rfam family "Bacterial small subunit ribosomal RNA", at positions 250 to 855 of the family's 1533-position model. The record is from RNAcentral.